UUGACUUAUUUGUGUUUUACUCAGAGAUCCACUAUGAUAUACUAGAGUUUGUGACCUCCGGCGGGCGGCCCCGCACCUCCGGGGAGGCGCGGCGCCGCGGCCCUCCCCCGGGGGGGGGAGCCGGCUCCGCCGAAGCAACUGGGACGAGUUCGCGAUGGUUUGAAGUAGCCUUUCGGCUUCUUGUAAUGAUCCCUCCGCUGGUUCACCAACGGAGA
Molecule: unclassified non-coding RNA, 215 nt
Filed under: uncultured fungus
Lineage: Eukaryota; Fungi
Description: sequence contains ITS1
Source: RNAcentral